AAACAUGUUAGUAAACGUCAAAGUCAAUGACGAAGUAUUUUCUAAGGCACUAAAUUUCUACUAAAUCGUUCAUUUGCAAAGUACGUCGGUUAAAGAGUAGCAGCCAGUCAUUGUGCUCUGGUUUUUUUCUUUUUAUUAGUUCAAGUUUUCGGAAUUUAUACCACAAGUGGCGAACGCUCUGCUCUUGUGAGUUUGUAGAAAUUAAUAAAAGCGUCCAACUGACGCUUUUUCGUCCGGGCCUAGAGUCCGUAGUCCGUUGCAUCCGCCAUCUUCUUUGGCAUCUGUGCACGUGGUGCACUUCCGGCGGCGACAGCUCUACCAGGCCCGCCUAUUCAGCAGUCAAACGGGGUAGAGAGAACUUCCCUCCAGCCUGCUUGCGUUUCGGUCGCACGAUUCGAUCUGGCAGAGUACUGGAGCUCCGACGCCCUCGCCCCGCAUCUUUACAUCGGCCUUAGAUUCAUCGAGCGUGUCCGUCGACAUUGAAUCUUGAAGCAUCGCCCCCCUGGUCGGUGGCUUCCUUACCAUGCCACUGCCACACUGAAAUCAUCGCACGCCGUAUGAGCAUCCCCCGAUCGGUGAAAGGACAGCAUGACCGACAGCAUAAAAUCCUGCGCAGGUUAGUGAAAUCAUGGCCAUGAUGAACACACAACAUACAACACACACACUAACACACACGAUAUAAAACGAAAGAUGACAAUAUAAGUAAAAUGAAUUCAUGCUAAAUUUA
Long non-coding RNA from Topomyia yanbarensis, 727 nucleotides. RefSeq lists it as uncharacterized. The transcript has 3 exons. NCBI's taxonomy places the organism in Eukaryota, Metazoa, Arthropoda, Insecta, Diptera, Culicidae. The record is from RefSeq and is a predicted model, not a curated record.